CAGACGCAUGCAGACUGCGGGACGCACGGCCUAGCAUGUGGGACACGUGGCCUAGUGCUGACGUGCGGAUGCAGGGCCCAGUGGGAGCACGAAGGCCCGCACUCCUGUGCGCACAUGGGAUGAGGCAUCGUGGUCCAUGGUGGACCAUGGAAAGAAGAGCGGUCCACACGAGUUCUGUAGACCAUCACAAUCUAAGGGGCAAAUAUCACGGUCUAUGGUGGUGUUUUGCACGAUCUGAUGCACA
This 244-nucleotide long non-coding RNA is filed under the name Elaeis guineensis (African oil palm). RNAcentral's name for it is "long non-coding RNA (EGUI_LNC004914)". The record is from RNAcentral. Lineage: Eukaryota; Viridiplantae; Streptophyta; Magnoliopsida; Arecales; Arecaceae.